UCGAUUCCCAUUUUCAUAGUUAUCCGUCGGUUUAUUUGACACACACUCCUUGUCGGUUUAAUGAAAAACAAAGCCCACCUCUUAGUUUUUCUUUCUCUCGUGAAAACAGACUCCAAACCCAAACAUUCUUCUCCUGCCUCAAUCUUUCUCUCACCUCUGAUUCUCUCCACCGCCCCUCCCUCGCCGGAGCUUCGCCGUGCUGCCGUUCCCCCCCGAUGCGGUGUUGAUGCUUUACUCCCUUCCCAUCUCUCUUUCUCUGCUUUGUUCGUGCUCUGUCGUCAUUGCGCCGCUCGCGUGCCGUCGCGGUGCUGCUGCUGGUGGCUGCGUGGUGGUGGUGUUCCGUCAAUGAUGCGCCGCUGUCAUUGUGGUGUUAUUGUGCUCUUGUUCUCUCUUCUCUGUUCUUGCUCGUUAAUGUCGCAGUAGUUGAUGUUGUUCUGCCGGCGGUCGACUUGCGCUGCUGCUGUCGCCACCUCGGUGUUGGUGGUACACCGAGUACCGAAGGUACUGCUGGGGACGAUGGUACUGCGUAGUGGCAAGGAUUACCACCUUAUUAAAUCAUCUAGUAUUAGUGCUACUAACUUGUAAGGUUAACUUAACUAGAAUGUAAGACCAUAUGCUUUGAUAUGAGUUAUCGUUGUUAUGUCAAGUAAACGUUAACGUUGUCUGCUUUAUUAUAAUAUAAGAUGUCUAAGUUAUCACUA
This is a long non-coding RNA of Beta vulgaris subsp. vulgaris (sugar beet), 701 nucleotides long. RefSeq lists it as uncharacterized. The transcript has 2 exons. Lineage: Eukaryota; Viridiplantae; Streptophyta; Magnoliopsida; Caryophyllales; Amaranthaceae. The record is from RefSeq and is a predicted model, not a curated record.